AUACGGAGGGUGCAAGCGUUAUCCGGAUUCAUUGGGUUUAAAGGGUACGUAGGCGGAUAGAUAAGUUAGUGGUGAAAUCCCGAAGCUCAACUUCGGAACUGCCAUUAAAACUGUCUAUCUUGAAUUUGGUUGAAGUGGGCGGAAUAUGACAUGUAGCGGUGAAAUGCAUAGAUAUGUCAUGGAACACCAAUAGUGAAGACAGCUCACUAAGCCAAUAUUGACGCUGAGGUACGAAAGCAUGGGUAGCGAACAGGAUUAGAUACCCUAGUAGUCC
Molecule: ribosomal RNA, 274 nt
Filed under: uncultured bacterium
Lineage: Bacteria
Description: partial 16S ribosomal RNA
Rfam family: Bacterial small subunit ribosomal RNA
Source: RNAcentral